RNAcentral lists this ribosomal RNA (470 nucleotides) under uncultured bacterium. RNAcentral describes it as "partial 16S ribosomal RNA". It matches the Rfam family "Bacterial small subunit ribosomal RNA", at positions 28 to 507 of the family's 1533-position model. The record is from RNAcentral.
GACGAACGCUGGCGGCGUGCUUAACACAUGCAAGUCGAACGGAGAACGCGGGAGCUUGCUCGCUCCGCGUCAGUCGCGCACGGGUGUGUAACAUGUGUAACCUCUCCCUCGAUCUCUGGUAUCAGCGUUGGAAUCGGCGUAUAAUCCCGUAUGAGACGCUGGAGCGCGUUCGCGGUGGGUAGAAUUCGCUGCGGUGCGGGAUGAGCUCGCGGCCUCUCAGCUUGUUGGUGGGGUAGCGGCUCACCAAGGCGGCGACGGGUAGCCGGCCUGAGAGGGUGACCGGCCACACUGGGACUGAGACACGGCCCAGACUCCUACGGGAGGCAGCAGUGGGGAAUAUUGCACAAUGGGCGCAAGCCUGAUGCAGCAACGCCGCGUGAGGGACGACGGCCUUCGGGUUGUAAACCUCUUUUAGCAGGGAAGAAGCGAAAGUGACGGUACCUGCAGAAAAAGCACCGGCUAACUACGUG